RNAcentral lists this ribosomal RNA (426 nucleotides) under uncultured bacterium. RNAcentral's name for it is "bacterial SSU rRNA". It matches the Rfam family "Bacterial small subunit ribosomal RNA", at positions 356 to 773 of the family's 1533-position model. The record is from RNAcentral.
GGGGAAUAUUGGACAAUGGGGGGAACCCUGAUCCAGCCAUGCCGCGUGUGUGAAGAAGGCCUUUUGGUUGUAAAGCACUUUAAGCGAGGAGGAGGCUCCCAGUAUUAAUACUACUGGAGAGUGGACGUUACUCGCAGAAUAAGCACCGGCUAACUCUGUGCCAGCAGCCGCGGUAAUACAGAGGGUGCAAGCGUUAAUCGGAUUUACUGGGCGUAAAGCGUGCGUAGGUGGCCAAUUAAGUCAAAUGUGAAAUCCCCGAGCUUAACUUGGGAAUUGCAUUCGAUACUGGUUGGCUAGAGUAUGGGAGAGGAUGGUAGAAUUCCAGGUGUAGCGGUGAAAUGCGUAGAGAUCUGGAGGAAUACCGAUGGCGAAGGCAGCCAUCUGGCCUAAUACUGACACUGAGGUACGAAAGCAUGGGGAGCAAAC